UAUCCGUAGGUGAACCUGCGGAAGGAUCAUUACUGAGUGAGGGCCCUCUGGGUCCAACCCCCCACCCGUGUUUAUUAUACCUUGUUGCUUCGGUGAGCCCGCCUCACGGCCGCCGGGGGGCAUCUGCCCCCGGGCCCGCGCCCACCGAAGACACCUAGAACUCUGUAUGAAGAUUGCAGUCUGAGCAAAAACUAAAUAAGUUAAAACUUUCAACAACGGAUCUCUUGGUUCUG
Molecule: unclassified non-coding RNA, 233 nt
Filed under: plant metagenome
Description: partial contains small subunit ribosomal RNA, internal transcribed spacer 1, and 5.8S ribosomal RNA
Source: RNAcentral